This is a long non-coding RNA of Gallus gallus (chicken), 27068 nucleotides long. RefSeq lists it as uncharacterized. The transcript is spliced from 5 exons. The record is from RefSeq and is a predicted model, not a curated record. Lineage: Eukaryota; Metazoa; Chordata; Aves; Galliformes; Phasianidae.
CUGGUGUCUGCUGCUGCCGCCAUCUGUAGACUGUAAAUCUGCCAACUCGGUUUUCUUCUAGACAUCCCCAGGAGAGAUGAGUUUGCUGAUCCCAUUAGUCCUCUUGAAUGCCAGCCACAUGCUGAAGAGAGAUCCCAAGAGAACAGUGCAUACGACUGGCUGAGGAGGUGCAAUGACUUACACUGUGUAGGCUGCAAGCAACACCGUAAGUGUUAGGCAAGGAGUGGAUGCCAUUAUAUUCCCUCUAGGAUGGAGGGAGAGUGGCGUGGCAGUCAUGCUUGCAAAGCAGCUCAACUUUCUCCAUCUGUAGCAAAUCACAGAAUAUCCUGAGUUGGAAGAAAUGCACAAGGGCCAUCAAGUACAACUCCUGGCUCCACAUAGGACCACACAAAAAUCAGACCAUAUAUCUGAGAGCAUUGUUCAGAUGUUUCUUGAAUUCCAGCAAGCUCAGUACCACAGCAUGUGUUCUGGGGAGCCCAUUCCAGUGCCCAACCACACAGCAUGAAAGAUACCUCAAACUCACCAACACUCUUAUUUGUAGGAAAGCACUGAUAUUGACAUUUCCCAGCAAACAUCAAGAGAAGAGCACCUUUUUGAAAUUUUCUUUAGGAAACCAGAGUUUUUGUUGAUCCUAGCAUUUUCCUCAAACUCAUACCAUAGGACUGUUCUUAGUAUAUUCACAUAUACUGGGUUGCUCUUAUCCAAACAGUUAUCACUAGAAAAAUUGAUGCUUGAUACCUCACUUUAUUCACAGAGAAUCCUGGCUUUUCAUUGCCAGUUUGAAGAAAGGUUUGAGAAGACAAGAAACUCCUACUUCUGAGAAGCUUUUCCCUGACAGCCAGGCUGUGCUGAAGCUGAGGUUGGCAGCAGUCACCUCAGCCACUCCACCCAGCUACCUGCGCAUGUAUGGUGACUCAGCUUCUAAUGACACAGUCACACAUUCAUUUUUCCACUGAACCCGUCCCCUUUGACAGCUUGCAAUGAAUGGAAGAGUUGAUCAGUGUUUAUUUUUAUCUUGUCUUUUUUAAUUUGAGUUCUACUUUUGGGGCAACUGUCAAAAGCAUAUUUAGCCACUUUGGAAAAAACUUGGCACACAAAGACCUCCAGAACUAUGGCUAAGCAAAGGCAUAGUUCUUAACAGAAGAUAAUUCUGCUUCAUACUUCUAACUGUGCUAAUGGAGGGACCCAGUAGCGUUUCACAGGAGACCUGUGUAGGUUUGAGAUGCAGUGCUGAUAUUUCAGCUUCAGGGGAAUGAGGAAGCUAUUGCACAGCACUGUGUUGUUGCUACCCCAUACAGACUACCAUCCUGCUCCAUUUUGAAAAGGAAUACUAUUCAAAUAAUUGCAAAUGAAACAUUUAGUGGUACAGCUGGCCACAGGCCCAAGAGACGUAGGAACAAUACAGGCUGAGUCAACAACUGCUGGCUUAACAAGGCACAGGUGUGUAGGCAGAAUUACAAGACCAAACAUCUACAGUGCUUCCUUGUUCUUUGAACAGUUGACCUUCACAUCAUUUCCCCCCCUUUCCUUCAGUGCUGUCCUCUCUGCCAUCAGAGGCAUGAUCUCCUCAUGCUUCUCUCCUUCCACUCUUCCUCAUGCUGGGAGGUUUGACAAGAGGCUGGCACAGGGCCUGGGCAGAGCCUGUUGCUUCCUGUAAGCCUUUCUUAAACCAAAACUGCUCUUCAGAACUGGCUGGACCUCCCUCACAGGCCCACCCUCUCCUUGCUACUGGGAUUACUGGAGGUAGAAGUUCUUCCCCUCACUAUGCAUAGCCUCACAAGCAGCAGCUCACCUGCUGCUUGCUUCUUCUGACCAGGUGUGCUGCCCUCCCAGCAGAAGGGAAUGAAGCUUUGGCUUUGUGCACUUCUGAAUAAGACUUCCCAUUUAUUCAUGUCAGCUCCUGUAUAUGGAUCUCCCCCCCAGUUUUCAUUGUUGGAUGGGAGGGCAAUGUUUCAGCCACAGAGGACUGCAUCAUUCAUUAGCCCUGACUGGUUCAUUUCUUUCUCUGGCACAAGAAGUGAGCAAGCAUGCUGGUUUCCUUACAGAUACAGGUGCCUGCAGUCCAUGCAUGCCCAGCUGUGUAACCUUCAGGUGAGCUUCUUGCCAUACUUGACAUUGGCAGGUGCCUGGCAUGUGUUGCAAAUGAGUAGAAAGGAAAGAGCUCAAGUGCACUUGUGCACUGGUCUGCAGGACAUUGAACAGGACUCCAGUUACUCAGAAAAUAUCUGAUAUCCAUCAUUAGAAAAAAUACUGGGAGGCUUUGUAAGAAACCUUUCUAUUGAUUCACAUCACAUCUAACAGUGAUUUUUCUGUGAACCUGCCCAUCCCAUCUCCCUUCCCCCCAGAUUCCUCCUGCUCCCUGGUUACUACAGGGGGAAUGCCUUGAACGAAGAUCACCAUUUAUAAGCUAUUAGUGGCUAUUGUAAUACAAGGCCCACAGACACAACCAAGGCUCCGUUGUUUUUGUUGAUACAACCAUACAGAUGUCAUGAGUCCCUACUACAGGGCUGGCACAGAAAUGAAACAGCAGAUCACAGAAGUCUUUGAAAUAUUACCCCCACCUGCUUGUUCAGAGUUCAGCUAAGCCAGCAGUGUUCCCCAGAGAGUGGCAUUACUAAAACCUCGUGGUGAGCCGACACCACAGGCUAGAAGAGAAGAAUAAUAUUUCUAAUAAGUGGACUGGCAGAGUUCAAAGGGAUAAUAAGCAUUUAAAUUCAACAUGAAAGACAUCUUCCUCUUCAGAGCUUUAGGAAGGAAAGUAGCCAGGCAGAUAAACUAUUUAAAAGCCCCUUUAAUCAAGGCUAUUAACAUAGAGAUUUUUGUCUUAAUUAAAAACAUCUCCAUUCAGUCGCAUUAAAGAGAAAGUGAUACAAAAUGUAAUUUAUUCUUCUAUUUGAAACUUUUAGAAGAACUGCAAAAACAUUUUUUGCAGAGAACCCCUCCUUCAUUAAAAGUUAUCUUUGAGAAAAAGAUUAAUUUAGUCUAUCCCGCUGCUCACAUUUUCAUUUGGAGUGAACUGUACACUUGUAUUGCUACUUUUGUAGAAAGCCUACUUUCUUGGCUUCCCAAAUAUUUGAAUUUCUGACCAUGAGCAAUAAGACAGGCAAAUAUUUAUUCUCAGAAAUUUCCUGGGGUCUCAAAAGAAGCUGAAGAAAACAAUGAACUUCAAAGAGGCAUCCCCAGCAAAAAAAAAAAAAUGAGGUGGUGCCUACGGUCUGGAUGGACUUGUGUUGCAAGGGCAAUGUAGGCAUACAUAGAGAGCAAGAGGAAAGUGAAUAGGAUCAGAGUAGGCCUUGAAGAUUGGGAGUACCAGGAAAACUUCACAAAUAAGCAUGGCAUCUACCUGAAAAUAAAUAGUUCUCAGCAGGAUAAGGGUUGCUGUUCACUUCAUUUCAGCCAGACUUGCAGACCUGUGUCGUUACAGAGGAAGAGCAGCAUAUGGGACAGGCGUGAAGCCUGCCUGAUCCUCCCACAUGGUGCAGUCUGCCAGCUAAGAAACCUAACCCCAGGCAGGGAAAAUAUCACCAUCUGACAGAGUUUUGCCAGCAUGAAGCAGCAUUUCUCUCAAACCGUGAAGCAGUUCUGCGGGACAGCCAUGGUGUUGCCAAGGAUAGAUGCUGUUGUUGUUACUAAAUCUGAAAGGGUUAUGGAGUCAUUUGCUCAUCAGUUUCCUAUUUCUUUGCAUUUCUCAGAAAUUUUGGUAAUUUCUCUUCUGAUUCAUUCAUCCUUGCCCAGCCAAUGCUGACUGAACUGAUAGAUGCAGGCACAUGUGGUAAUACCUCAGCUACAUCAUAACAUAACCUUUCAGUUAUAGUGCAGACACGUGCUGACUCAGCAACAUUGCCUUGGCCCUGGGACUUGGUUGGUCACCUUCAGCAAAGUGCCUUUUGUCAGACUGCAGAUACCUAGAAAUGGGUUUAGAGAUGUUCCAUGUUCUUCAUUAUGUCUUGAACAGUACAGUGUCAAGGGUCAUCUUGUCCUCUCAUAAUAGCCAAAGUGAUCAAAUACCCCAUUAUCCAAACUAAGCAGCAGCAGAAUAACCAAGCACCUCUUGUUGAGAGUAGAAUGGUCCCACACAACCACUGAUCUGCCCAGUAUGUUUCUUCCAUACUCCCCUCAGUCCCGCAGUGCUUUAUUUCGAGCAACAAAUAUUGCUGUCUUGUGGUAGUCACACUAAAUUUGGGCUAAUUAAAGGACAGCAGUCCUAUCUGAGCAGAAAGAUCUGCAGUGUCGGCCUGUGCUGCCUACUGAGGCUGCUGCCUGCCAGAGCUCUUCCAAGAGUUGGGCUGCUCCCUGGAGCUCUCUAAAAAGUGUUAUGUAUAUAUAUUGUCCUACAGGUAUAUGUGGGUGCAGAGGAACAUCUGCGUUUUUAAAGGGAAGGAACACCUGCAUCAUCAUCAUCACCACCUAUAAAAUGGAAAGUAACUUCAAAGCAGCUCAGUCUCCCCAUUUUGCCCUUCAGAAAUGGGGUGACACACUCAUUUUUACCAGCCUCUAUUUGCCUCGUUUCCUAGAAGGGAUGGUGCAGGCUGUGAGCCGAACAGAGCUGUGCCAGCUUAUGGCAGCAGUCACCUGGCCCACACACUCCUGUGAGAUGUCGUAAGCUUACUAAGCCCCGAGUGCUGCCUCACUCUGCUUUGUGCAUUACAGACCACCUUUCCUUGAAUGUAACCUUUCUGGAGAUGCAGAAAAGGCAGGAUCUGCCUGAGCUGCUCGGAUGAGUCCUAGGCAUUAAAUCUAUUUCACUCUUACUUGAAACUAAAUCAAUUUAAGGAUUGUUUGAUGGCUUUAGUUAAUUAGCCAGGUUUCUAUUUGAUGUUUGUUACUUUUAAAUUCAAUAAGAAAAGAUUACUUUCAGUAUUGUCUCUUCAGAUAAGCAGCAUUACCUGCUUCUCCUGAUAUAGUCAUCUCUUAUUAAAGUAGCCAAGGAGGAUUCACUGUUGCCACUUGAAGCUAAAGAAAUGUCAGAGGUAUUAAAACAUUGACAUUUUGCUGCAGUUAGAUCUCUGAGAUCAGCCAGACAGCUGCCUCAAGGCUAGGUACCAGAUUACUCAUCUGAUUUUGUUGCUGUGAUAUGGCAUUUUUGCAUACAAUUACUGUUAGUCACUCCCUCUGGUGUCAGCCUCUACACCAAUUCCCUUGCACCAUUUGUCAUGGUUAUAAUGGUCUCCACAUGGCCAGCACCAGAAACCCAGAGCUACUUGUAAUGUUUGUUUCAGUAAUAAAAUAAGAACAUCCUAAAAUCCUUGUUUCCUUUACCAGUACAAAAUGAGAUGGUGCAUAUGAUCUGCUCAGCAAAUGCUGAGUAUAACAGGAUGAAAUCCUUAGGGUGCAGAAGGUUUGGAUAGCUCAGCUGCGUCUGGAUGCCCUAACAAAGGGUUUUUACUUUUAAAUGACUUUCCUUCCAUCCACCUCUCCCAAUCUCACUUCCGUUUUAUUACAAAUCUUUCCAAGAGUACUAAAAACAACAACAAGAUAAAAAUAACUUGCUUGGUGCCCUAACACUACCUGUGCAUUCAAGAUGCCUGUUUCUGGUUACCUGCUGUACCCCUCAGCCUUGUGUCAGGGCCUUUCAGCUUACCACUGCCUGUAUUUUUGAUCUUGCCUGACUUAAGAUCACACAACAGCAGACAGCAGUCUUUCCACCAUACAGAGGCAGGUUACUCUUUGUUUUGGCUGAGAAAAACUGCAGGAUGCCCUGGAUUUAUCUGACCAGUUCCAGCAAGCUGAAUAUCUUUUUGGCAAUGAAGAAGAGGAGCUUUCCUCAUUUCCAUGUCUUUGUUAAAUGAGGUUACAAGAUAUGUGCUGUAAGCAGUACAACAGUAACGUUUGGCUGACAGUGUCAUAACUUCUUCCUAACCCAUUACCUGGUAGGGCAGACAAAGCAGUGCAGAAGAAGCCUGAGUAACAUUAGGAAAUAUUUUUCCUCAAGUUGACUGUUUCAAACUGCAAUGAACUUCAGGAAAGAAAGUCCAUCACCACUAUCACUACAAUCUCCACAGGGUAGCAAAGCCCUGACCAAGGUACAGCAAGACAUUAUUGUCUUCUCACUGACUCUUCUCCUGGUCUUGGUGUUUCCACUGAUUUGUAUAGUGGUCCAGGGCUGUACAGUAAAUCUUAGAGAAACAACAACAAUCUGAACAGUGAACUCUCCUUAUCAGUAUCCCAUGUACUUUUCCUUCCUUUCCUUUGGCAGUGAAUGCAUUGGUUCAAAGACAAGUGUCCUCCCAAGAGCAUCCCUGAAUGCUCUGACUGCUAUUUGAUAAGAGAAAUGGAAGAAACCCACAAAAUUAUAAGAAGAGAUCAGAAGCUAUUGAUCUACUUAAAGAUAUUGGUACUUUAAUCAACUCAGGUCAAUGAGCUCUGGAGAUCCUUUCCAACCAAUAUCAUUACAGCUAUGUCAUAUUAAAGUCAUACAAAGUAUUAGAAAGGGAGUACUGAAAAAAUUCAGUACUAAAUUUAACACCUGCAACACACUAGAAUGCACAAUAAUGAAAGCAUAGCAGCACGACCCCAGACCACAACAGGUGAGGAACCAAUCAAACAUGACAGCAGUAAGUAGAGAAAUAAAGAAAAGACUCUACUUACCUUUGAGAGGCCUCAAGCACACAAAAAUCCCUAAAAAGACACCCUCAGCUCCCCUGGCAACCCUUAAAUGAGGUCUGGGAAAGGAUGGAUCCUGGCUCCACCCUUUCCUGUCAUUCAGGUGCAUUGCUUGCACCUGAGCUCCCCUAGGUUGGCCCUGCCUUCCUACCAGGUGCUCAAUCAAUGUUUCAAGCAGUGACUUCCAUUUCCAGUUUUCAAUAGUACCCCAAGUCUCUGAGAGACGUUAUCCUCAGGAGCAGAUGAACCCUCUCCAUGCACUGUGGAGGAUGGUUUAUCAUUUCAUCGAAGCCGAUUUAAUUUUCAUGAGGGACAAUCCCUUUUCGCUUCCCACCCCUGCACUCACCACCUUCCUUCAGCCAACAUUUGCAUUUUCAGGUGUUACAAGGUGGAUGAACAAAGUAGUUGUUUUGUUACUGCAUUCAUUUUCCAGAACAUCAACUCCCUGACACGCUUAAUGGUACAAAGACAAAAGCCUAGCAGCAGUCCAAAGCAUACAGCAGGAGCACUGUGCCGUAGAAGGGCAAGGACCUGUCUUUCCAAUGGCAUCUCGGUCCAAGAUCAGAGUAAACCACAUAUAGUACUAUCCUCUGCAGCGGGACUACUUCCAGCUCCUAUGGCUCUGGUUCACUGAGAGAGCUGCCAAUGCCACUCAGCCUCAGUGUGCAUUUAGAAGUAUUCUAGUAAUUUAUUUUAGCAGCUCUUGUGUACACACGUAUACUGCUUCCUUUCCGCCUGCUGCACCCCUUUUUGCCUUGUCCAAGGCUAGAGUUAUGUUGAAUCACAAAUUGUGGCUUAUGAUUUAUUAUUAUUUUUAAAGAUUCCAGAUUCUUACUAGCUGCAGAGCUGUGCAGUGGUAGCAAAAAAGGCCAUAGAUGUUCUACAUCUGUGUGAGCUUUUAUUUUACAUAUAUAUAUACAAUAUAUAUAUAAUGAUUAUAAUUAGGUGCCAGAGAUGCAGAUAAGCAUCAGUGGUGUUUACUAGCAUGAUAAUAUGGGAAAGAAAUGCACUUUUAUUCAUCUGGAUGAUUUUCAUGUUUUAUCUAUCCUUCAAAAGGUUUGAAGCCCAAUGCAUGCAGGAGCAUGGAACAUUUAUAGGUUAUGGUCCUGUGUGUGUUUUCCUAAGUUACUAUCUGAGCAUAAACAACGCUUAUUGGACUUUAGGACGAGACGUGCCAAAGGAACUGUGCCAGCUCUCCCCACAAAGGUUGCAGUGCCAGAACAGGAUGGCCAGGAGCUGCCAGGGGAGACAGGAACUGCCCUGGGAUGAUCUAAGGAUAGAAGUCAUACACAUUGCAUGAAUACAGGAACAGGUAAACAGCUGAGCCGUAAAAGUUUCUCUCCAGGCAUGUUUUCAACAAAAUGCCAUCACACACUGUCUGGUGAUACAUGCUGCUACCCAGAUGGAACAAAACGGGCGAUUUAAUGUUCCUCAUUCACUUUUAAUAACCUCGGACUGAUGGAGAGGUACACGAAAACAUAAGGAAUAGGAACGCCUUGGCACCAUAACCAGAAGACGGACAGCAUACAGGUUGUGUCUGAUUACCCAGCAAUGUCAUCGGAGUGCUCUGAAAUCUGCAGUCCAGAUGUGAAGUCUGGUUACUUCCUUACAAAACCAACCUGUUCUGAGUAUCAAGAAGCAACUGAAAAUCUUUCGGCAUUGGGGGUAAAGAGGCACUCUGGAGAGAAGGUGAAUUUUCCCCACUGCAAUUAAGACAGAAGAAGAGAUAUCCGGCCAAUUCCCUUAUGCACAGAGUGUGAAAGAGCUGCACAGUACCUGUCCGCCAGCGAUAUCGGUUUAUGUGACGUGUAUAUUGUCUGCACUGUUGGAGUCGGCACAGGCUCUGCUAGGGAUCUCAGUACAGGAGAUUUUGGUACCGGUGAAAGCUUGGGAGACGACUGCACCACACAGCACUGCAAUUUGCUGUCUGUGAACUCUGCCUACAAAAGAUGCACACAGACACGGAGAGAAGAAAGUGUAGAUUAGCUUCUACUGCUCUUGCUCACUCCCAUCCUGUUCAUUGCCAAACCUUCAUUACCAGCAGCUAAUAAAGAGAAGGAGAGGCUGCAGGUUGCAGUGCAAGCUGCGUGUUCAUGGAGCGGCCAACUCUGCUGUCAGCUCUCACAACCUUUUGGCAGGGAUUCUUUCUUGUGCCAAACCAUAGUGGGUACCACUAAGGUGUAUGUGUGACCUGGGAAGGUCAUGGAGCAACUGCAGGCUGCCUGUACCUUGGGACCCUUGGGGUACGCUCCUUCUGGAUUCCUAUCAUGGCAACUUCUGUUCAGACUUUGUAGCAGGGAGGAAAAAAAGUCACCGUCGUAAGGGAGCAUAUGAUAUUUAUCCAGCUAUGUGAAUAGCUAAUUUUCUGUCUUAAUUUUUUCCUCAAAAUCUGCAAGGCACAUGACAUUAAUGCUAAAAAAAAAACCAACUAAUUCAACCAGUGGGACAAUUAUUUGGGCCCAGGAAAGCAUGGCUGUGUUAGGUUCAUUUGCUUUCUGUCAUUUUUAGCAUGUCCCUGCUCAUGUUUCAACUAAAAGCAUCUGAUGUGCCCCAAGAGAAGCUCUGAAGCAACGGGAAUUCCAUUAAUUCCAUGGAAUUUAGAAAAUGGAAAGUGUAAAACCAACUAAAGAAACUCUCCUUCUUCAACCCUGGUCAAUCUUAUGUGUAAAUACUGGCUAAUACAGCCUGUUCUGACUUCUCUCCCACUCAGCUUUUAGAGCUCAGCCUUACAGGCUACAGGGACAUCGGUUUGGUGCUCCAUAGUCUAAGGGAUGAGCAUGAGCCGCAGCACCACCUGCAAAGGUGAUGUAAGUUUUCCCAGCCCUACUGAAACCAGCAGUGCUAUGGCAAAUUACACUUGCUAAAGAUUUGUCCCGAGUCCUAAAGUGUGUUUGCUUGGGAUGAUGGUUUUACUGCAUAUAUCCAAUGCAUCUUUUUAUAUAUGUAUGCGUUUACAUAUAUAUGCAUGUUUGAAAAAAAUAUUUUCCUGGUCUAAACAGAUACAAUUCCAUUAUCUUAAGUCUGUGUGACUUCUACUCAUAGACAGUACGGCCAUUAAGCCUGCUGUUUCUCCCUGGAAAUUUCUGAAAUUCAGAGGGGUUCCUGGCAUGAACCUUCUUUUUAAAGAUUAUAGGAAACCAAAUUCUCUGUUUUUUCCUCAACAUCAUUGCAUAUACACCACAAAAUUAGAAGCCAUGCCCUCAAUAACAUUUCAAUGUUCUGUUCCAAGCAAAAUAAAUGAAUAAAUAAGAAAAAGUGAAGGGGAAGCAGGGAAAAGGAAAACAAAACAAGGAACAGGAGUCAGAAAUGCUGGUAGCCAUCAGGGACUGUGUCUGGAGGAUACUUGGAGUGAGAUCCAACUGCAGGACUAACUCUGCCUUUCAGAUACUUUGCUGGGGAAAAGCAGCGUUUAGAUCCAGUCCCACAGUCAGGUUUAUUGUGAAAGAAAAGCCUCUUUCUUUAAAUCAGUAAGUGCAGCCAGUCACUGCACAUGGCCCAGCAGUGAGCUACGUUGUGAGUUACUAUGAUUCUGGGAUGGGUAUAGAUUGCUGCUACCAGUAAAAGUUAUGGUUGAAAUCUAAAAUGCUUGAUUCUGUCAGUGUAAUUUGACAAAACAGAAGCCAAUUACUGCGGUUUGCAAUUAGAGGCAGGGAACAGUUCUUACAAACCAGAACCACUUCUCACACUGGAAAGGAUGGGAAGGGUUAUAAUCAGAGUUCCACAUCCCAUAUUCCAUUAUAUCAAGUGCCCAAAAAUCUUUUAAAAUUCUCUGAGUUGUCUGAGUAGAUUAUUUUGGGACACUUAUUACAUAACGUUCUGCCCUUAAAAUAGGGCUUGGAUUGGACUUCUUUUUGAGUUGUCUAAUUGUUGAUACUCACACGCAGUUUACUUUACCAAAAGCUCUAAAUCCCACCAUCUCUGAAAGUUUAGUAAGAAUCAAGUAAUAUUUGAUUCAGGUUAUGAAGUAAACAUAGGAGUUUAAACAAGGAUACCAUUGUAGUCAUCAACAUGCUAACUAUAAUUCUUCCUUAGAAUUCAGAUGCAAAUUCAGUGAAAAUCCGGCUUCUUUUUGUGAUGGCACAGCAGGCAGUUUCAGGCAGCAGGCCAUGCAGUCACUAGAGAGAGGACUAAGUCAUCUCCACUCCCUUGGAAAGAUGCUGUUGAGCUUCGCAUGAGCCCUCAGCAGCCCUGAGCUGAGCAGCAUUUGGGGACUGGCUGUGUUAGCAGUGAGUUUCAUCAUUUGACUCUUAGUCCUCUGUCUAGUAUGCAUCAACAUCUGAAUGCAGGCACGUUCAUUAUUUGCAUAAUGGGAAUAUUUAACAGAUUUGCACUCUAAAGUCUGCUUGGAGCUUAUCUUUUUUUGAGGACUGUUUAAUGCAUAUGUUUCUAAUACUGUUAAAUGAUUCCUUGGAAUCGUGUUAAAUACACAGCUUUUCAGUUGCACAUUCUACUUACAGAAAACUGUGGUACUGUUGUAAAAGGAUCGAAAAAAGGAUUAGAUGUAUCAGCAGGGAAUGUCUUUAUCUUUAAAAAAGAUAAAGAAAAAGAUGUUACUUUCAGAGCAUAAAAAUGGAAAAGAAAAAAAAAAAAGCAGCAAAGCAUUGCAACUACAGUGAACAUAUCCAACAAAUCAGAGCGGUUCAGCAGUGCUUGGACCAGACCAGAAAAGACCCCUCCAGAAAUGCAUACAGAAACCUGAUGAGGAACAGUCAAAGCAUAAAUAUGAAAACCUGAGAGACACAAUUCAAUUUGUUGCGCACAGGAAGUACCUUCCAGUCCUGUAAACAGUCACCAGAUCAUUACCUGCUUCCUUCAGUGAGCACCGCAUUGUAAAAUAUGCAGUAUAAAAUGCAGGAACCCUUUUUUUCCAUUGCAGAAACUUCAUCUGAAGAACUUUACUUAUGCUAUACAUAUUUGGGACCUCCAAAUUUUCAGUUACACAGUUGCUGCCCAAGACAAACAAUCACUGAGAUGGGAUCGAAAGACAACUCUCUGUAAAACAAGCCUUGUGGACAGUGGUUUGCUUCAGGCAUCUGCUCGAACCUGGCUGUCUGCCUGUGUCCAGCGGUGGGCUGCCAAUCAGGGAUGAGCUUUGGGGGUUUCCAUCACAGGACUUGGGGUCACAGUCAGAGAUGAGCACGUCCCUGGGCCCCUGGGCAGAGAGGGCUAAGAAUGGCCAGGGCUCAGCCCCGAGCAUACUGUCACUUGCCCCACGGCCUGCUGGAAGUCACUUCUGCCCUUAGAACUACUUCAAAUGUUAAUGGAAAUUAAGGAAAUACUCAAAGUGGCAACAACUUCCACCCUGCUCCACUGCACGUGGUGUUUCUCACGAUUUUCCUCUCUGGAAUGCAGACGUUACUCAUUCAUUCAACGGGAAGACAAAAUAUCAAAUACUUUGAAUGGCACAUCAUGCUUUCCAUUUUGGAAAAAAAAAAACCACAUUUUUCAGUGUACAGUUGUGUUUUUCACUUGAUUAUAGAAAAUGCUGUGCAUUUGGUGUGCAUGUUUUCAAGCAUAAUUCACGAUCUCCAGCUAUAGAACUACUGUUGGAUAAUCAAGACAGCUAGCCUGAAGGUCCUGAGCCCUUGUAAGCCAAAGCAAAACCUGAAAUUAUGACAUCAAAUAUAAUUAAGUAAAUGUAUAGUGUUUAUUUUGCAAAUAAAAUAACAGAAACAUAUUUGGCUUAUAAGGAUGCCAAGGGAAAUUAACAGCCAUCUGUAGGGCUGCUUCUGCAAAUACAUGUAAUUAGUCCUGGCCUUAAUUGUUGGGCUUCAUACACAUGAGGAUUAUAGAUGGCAAAAAUACAUACCUUUUUUAACAGAACAGAGGUGGCUAUAAGUCAGUCACAGAGGUGCAAGUGAACAAACAACUGUGCAAAGGAAAAAUGUUUUAAAUUGCAAUUUUCUGUGCAAAUACAUUCAAGAAAAUCUCACACUUUUUUUAAUAGAUGUAUAAUCUUGUCUUAGUAGAGUCUAUAUUGCUGGUUGAACCUACUCUUGGCCUUGACGCAACAGUUCCUUACAGGUACAAACAGUACAGGACAAAGCACAGGCAUGCUCCACUAGAUGCAGUCUUUUAUCCAAGGGCAAAGCAGCACAGGGACGGAAGGUUGAUUGCUCAUAGAUAGGUAGGUUGAGCCUGAUGCGCAACAGCCAACAUCUUUCUCAUUUUGCAGGUUGAGCUCAUUAAGGAAAUGAAGAGCAGUUACUGAAUAUAGAAAAGAAAAAUGACACAGAACAAUUUUCAGGAGCCCACUGAGGUUUGGGAGCAGAGGUGUAUGGGGACAGCCAGCCCUGGCGGCAUGCCAGGGCACGUAGCGGUGCGGAGCUCCUUGUAAAAUCAGCACUGUGAACUGUGCCUAUGGCAGAGGCCAGCAAAAACCAGAUAAUCUGGCUUAGUUAUCAGCAGGAAUUCCUCUCCAGAGGAGCUGUGCUUAUUUAAUCUCAGGAAUAAGACAAUCCUGACAAAUGAAAGGCUCUGUAGGUUCCAAACCCACCAAUUUCCGGCAUUUUAAUGAAGCUGAACGCAGAAAUUAAGGGACAGAGGGAAAAAAAUAAAGCAUAAUUGUGUUCAAUUUAAGAGUGAGAAAGAGAAUCCAUCCUGCUCAGCUUUUAGGAUUUAGGCUUUCUUUUUUCAUCUUGUUUCCUUCUGCUGCUCAGAUGGCACAGUUUGAGCAGUUUGUUAGUUAGCCUGCCCUGAGCUUUGAUAAGAGCACUACUGCUGCCUGCUCAGUGCUGUGAGAGGCCCUUAUCUAUUCAUAGUCUGGUUCUUUUGAGAAGGAAAUGGGUAUCACAUCCUAAUCCACCCAAGCGCAGAAAAAUUCAUUAUAUUCAAGAACACUUGCACCUGGGGAGGAAUAACCGUAUGCAUCAGUACAGGUUAGGGGCUGACCCGCUGGAAAGGAGAUCUGUGGAGGAGGACCUGGGUGUCCUGGUGGAUAAUACGUUGGCCAUGAGCCAGAAGCAUGUCCUUGAGGCCAAGAAAGCCAAUGGGAUCAUGGGGUGCCUUAAAAAGUGCGUGGCCCGCAAGUUGAGGGAGGUGAUCCUCCCCUCCUACUCUGCCCUGGUGAGGCCAGAUUUAGGCUACUGUGUCCAGUUCUGUGCUCCCCAGAUCAAAAAAGACACAUCUAGGAGUCCAGCGAAGGGCCACAAAAAUGAUAAAGGGCCUGGAGCAUUUCCCAUAUGAGGAAAGGCUAAGUAACCUGGGUCUGUUCAGCUUAGGGAAAACAAGACUAAUGUUUAUAAAUACCUAAAGGGAGGUGGGAGGCAAAUGGAUGAGGUCAGGCUCUUCUUGGUGGUGUGUAGCAAUAGGAGAAAGAGUAAUGGCCUAAAACUUGAACAUAGGAAGUUCUGUACUAACAUGCAGAAGAACUUCUUUACAGUAAGGGUGAUAGAGCACUGGAACAGGUUGUCCAGAGAGGUUGUGGAGUCUUCUAUGUGGAUAUUCGAGACCCAUUUGGACGCCUUCCUGUGCAACCUGCUGUAGGGAACCUGCUUUAGCAGUGGUGUUGGACUCAAUGAUCUCUUCAGGUCCCUUCCAACCUCUGUAAUUCUGUGAUUCUGUGAACACUUUUCAGACUGAGGCUAAGGUAAGAUGGGGAGGAAGUAAGGCAAAGCAUCAGAUAGGCAUCUGCCUUAUGUAAAACUGCAUUUGGAAAUCUGAAAGACCAUUUUACUCAAGAAUACACAUUGGCCUUCUUGUGCUGCAUGUCCUCUAUAGCCAUCAGUGUGCUGAGGGCAGCAGCUGCACCAGCCCCUGAGAGGAGGAAGAAAACCCUGCCUGUUCCUGCCCCACCACUCCAGGAGAGCGGUGUUGAUGUCAGUCACUUGAUGUCAGCUCUGCCUCGUGGAUGAAUUCAUUGUGUAGUGUCAAAACUUCAAGUAGGUCAGAAAACAGAAGUGCUUCCUGACCAGAACAGGAGGCCAAGACCUAAAUGUCACCACCUGGGGAGUGAGAAGGGAAGAGGAGCAGAGCCACCUCCACCAUCUACAGCAGGUCUGCCAUUCUUCCAUUCCUGGAGACCUUCAGGAGCUUCUAGGCUUCACUUAGGAUUGCAAAUGCAAGGGGACAAGGGAGAAGGAAGGACCACCUGGUAUCACAGAGGCUGCAGAAAUAUUAUGAGCAAUAAGAGGACAGAGCUGUGUUCUAGCUGACAUUACAGAUAGACUUUGAAGUGUGAAACAAGACCUUAACCACACCUGUUCUCCCCACAGGAGUGAAAACAAUCUUACAGACAAAGUCGCAACCACAAAACAACCUUUAAAUAAGGCCCUGGAGGUACCUGUCCUGUCACAGGGGCAUGGCACAGAAAGGGAGUGAAGGCUCUGCAUGCCCCAGCAGCCCUGUACAUGCUGAGGGCUCAUUUCACAGCCUCAGAUGCCUCUUGCUUGAAUGCUCAGGGUGUACCACCAUAGCAGAACUGCUUUGGACAAGUAGCUCCUUGUCUAGAAUGUUUAGCUUGGCAGGUUGAGAAUUUACUAAGCUUAAAAGAACACUUGGCUCUUAAAAAAAAUAAGAAAGAAAGAAAGAAAAACUAUGUGAAAAUUAUCUAUGGAUAAUUUGCUGCUAGUACUCAAAGAUUUUUGUUACACUAUUACCUGUCCAUUGGGCUGACGUAUUUUGGAGAUAUCUGUCACAACUAGAAGGAAUUAACAGUAUUAAUUUUCAUUGAAAUUUGUACUGCAAAUUAGAAUGAAGGAGGUUGGAGGAAGAAAAGGGACAACAUGAUAAGAACAUUCUCCUUCUCUGUGCAUUUGUGCAAAACGUUCCUCUGGACAGAGUUUAAAAUCUCAGUAAAAACACUUGUACUUUCCUGAAACACCUUUUAAAUGGGCUAGAAGGAAAAGAAAAUGAAUGUUCUCAUAAAAGCAAACAGAAGUGCAGAGAGAUAAAGAGAGAAUUCCCACCUGAAAUGAAAACAGCAGGAGACCGGUGGAAAGUGAGUCAGUAGUUGGAAUGUGUUAAUUGAUAUAAAAUUAGCUAUUUUUGGUAUUUCUAUCAGAGGGGAAUAUUUAAAAUGUCUUUUCUGCUACAAAAAAAGAAAAAUGCUUUCCACGCUUUAGGGAACAGCAUGCUUAAUUUGGAUCUGUUCUCCUACAUUUAGAGUACCCAGGAUACCCACUGCCCUGCCACAACACACUCUUUCUACAAGGGUCUGAUACCGCGUUGUGCUGUUGACAUGCAACUGCUGUUCUUCACUCCCCUUGGCUUUAUGCCCAUCCCAUGCACCUUGACCAGAGGCCUCACAACACACUGGAGAGGCUGUGUGCUGUCAAGGGAUUUGCAUUGUCGCUUUGUACACUGGCCAGACACAAGGCAAACUGCUGGCCAAACACUUCAACAGCUUCCUGUGCCUCAGAGCAGAAGCAGAGCUGCUAACACCAGAAAGGGUGUCAUACAUACGGCUCUCAGUUUACUCAUACAGCCAGAGGAAUAUUCUGUGGUGCUUUAUUUAAAAAUACAUGCUAUAAGAUAAACACUGUCACAUCCGUCCAGCACAGAGAUUUGUUUCUACUUUUCAAACUAAAGAAAGUCAGCGCCUGAAACUACUGGAGUACGUUGCAUUAGCAUUUCCCAGUCCUGACGAGUGACACGUCUCAAGCACAAGUUAUCCAUUAGACUUGCUUUCCAAAAAGUGAUACAAUUCUGGACCCUGUAAUCAUUCAGUACAGCUCCUGUCUGCUGUCGUAUCUUUUCAGUGGCAAAAAAUGAAUAAUGAGGUGGAAAAUGUGAAAACAAAAGAGCUUUUGGUCAUUUUAACCACGUGAUACCCUAGUGGCCAAACAAGUUAUUUUGAGUGGAAGCAGUUCCUGGUUCCAACGAUUGCUCAAGUGCUACCAACCCCAGUUCACUCACUUUGUGUGGCAAUAGAAAUGGCAUGAUAGGUAGACAUUGAUCACUGUCUGAGUGCACAGAGCAAAAAUCAAACCAAACCAGUGCAGUCCAAUAAACCUGUGACAGAACAGAGAUAUUAAUCAGCAAUACCACUGCUUAAUCAGUCUUGGAAAAGGCUGUGUGAACUAAAUGCCCUGACGAACCAAACUUGUUGUGAGUCCCACAUGUACUGCAUCCCAGAACAUCUCCUUUUCAAGGAAGGAAGGAUUUCUUCUGCUUGUUGGACUGAUAUCCAGGUGUCAGUGUCAGCAGACAGAUUCAAUUCAUAUACACUGAAGAGGGGCAGUUGUGCAGAAAUGUGACAUUGAAAACACCCUAAGGCACCAAAUGUGAAGUUUCUGAAGAGGAUGGGUUUCUGUGCUCAGCCAGGAAAACACCAUGUGUUUGUAAUCACCCUGCCUACUGCUGUUCCUUCUGUGGAGAUAACACUGUGACAUCUCACUCCCAGCUCCAUCUGGUCUUUGGGUCUCCCUUGCUCAUCUUGCAAAGAACUGACAGCGACUGGAUUUUGAGGAUUUGCUUCGGACAACAACCACUGGCAUCUAAAAACCAGCCUACGUGAAUCCAGCUGUUUGACUCUUCUGACUUAGUUUGGCCUGGGUUUCCACUCGAAUGCAGGACCGCAGUACCAUGCUCCCUUCCCCAUAGGUCCCAAAAAUGUCCUGUUGGUAAACUGAGAAUGUACCACCUCGAGAACUAUGUUCAUUCUCUGGUGUCCUCUCUGAGCCAAGCUCUCUUGGAAGGCCCUUGGAUGACGAGCAUUCUGUUCUGCACACUCCUGCACACCAGCCCUUCUCUGAGCCUUGUCCUGGGCUGAAUUCACCCAUCCUGGAAUGUGGCUGGCAGCAGAUGCCAUGUUCUUGAUGUCUCACCAGACCUUGUAGAAUAGGACUAAUACUUUCCAUCAGAUACUUUCCUCCCUCUUAGAGUCACUUUACUCAACCCUUCCUACCAGGAGGUGUUGUCAGGAACUGGCUGCAUGGCUCCUUGGCUGUGCUUCAGUGAUGCCUCCCAGAUGGAUGCUUAAGAGAGUUCAUGGAAGUGAUGUACAUGGCUCGGCCUCUGCUAGAGCUUGGCUUUGCUGAAGCCAUAGCAUUUUGCAGAUCUUAACACAUAGUAGUUUGUGGUUAUAGUAUAAGCCGUAUACUAUUUACAAGCAGCUCUACUGAAAACAUAGUAGUAAAGAUAAAAUCCUGAAUCUUCAUGCCAACUUUUUUACUAAUUUGCAAGGACUAAUUUGUGUUGGUAUUAGCAUCUCUCUUAAGGAUUGUACUUCUGGGUUGUUAACACAGUGAUUUCAGAGGUUCUGGAGUCGAAGAUGGAAAUACCGUUAUUAAGUCAGCACAGCAUUUCUACAGCACAACAGAAGGGAGCGCAUGUCCUGGCUCAGCUUUACAGUGUAGCUUUGCCUUGAGAGUAUGUUGGAGGAGACAUUUAGUUCUUGAAAAGAAUACAGAGUAAGGACAAUUCAGAUGUGAUGGAAGCAUGACAGUGUCCACACUGUCACAGUCCUCAGGAUUUCUUUUACUGAUGCUGUGAAGGUGAACAAGCUUAAGCAGAACAUAACUUCAGCAUGGGCUGUCAGCCUAGUCAACAUCCCCUCAGGGAAACGUGGUGAAGCAAAAUGAUGUCACAGUCUUGAUGCACUAGCUAAAAUGCAGUUUAAAGACUCCAGCAUUUGUUUGGUCUUUGUUUAAAACACAGAAAUGAAGCAAACAAAAAGCAGUAGGUGCAUUCACCGGAAGUGGCUUUUCUCCAACUUUGCUGCAAAGUAAGUUAGCUGCAUUGCUAGAACAGCUAAUGCAAAGAUAUCGUUUUUGCCCCUUGAUCUUUACCAGUGAAAUCAGUGGUGGUCCAGAUGCCUAGAUUGCAAGCACAGCCAACAAAAUCAAGUGGCAUCUUCUGCAGAUGAAGGCUUUUGUCAUAGAGGAAAGUCACUAAGGAUGGACAACAUGAAGAGGAGGAAAUGAGUACUGUGAUUCCUGCCAUGUUAAAAUGUCCCAAGUAAACCACAUACUUCCCGAUUUGACUGCCAGCAGACAGGCUGCUACAUAUGCAUUUUGUAUCAGGUGGAAACACACCACUAGCCUCACCUGAUUACUUCUAGGAAUAGGGACUGACAGUUCAUCAUCCAAUAACAUUUCAAUCAUUUGAAUGGAGAUUUCAAACCCAGGUACAUAUCAACAAAGGCUGUCUAUUAACCACAUAACAUGAAUGCAUUUUCGAAAGCAUUGGCAUUGUAUUCAUCUGCUGAAAAGCUGUGACAGUUAGAUGCAAACAAUGCACUCUCUGACUCUUGCCCAACACAAAUAGUUUGUCUUUCUGUUAUGAUCGGUCUCUACUUGUUUAACAGCAAAAUCUGGCUGAAAGUCCUUAACUGUCCAGAAUCUCAGCCAACUGUGGUCUCCUUGAAUGUCAGUACAGUGAGGAAUAUUUUGCAUUAAUUUUCUGUCCUACUUUUAUGGGCUAUUAAGCUCUGCCAAAAUCCCCAAGAGUUUGUACAAUUCAUUAUUCUAAAGGAAAAGAAUAGCGUAGGUAGGUUAACAUCAGUGGAGCUACAGAACAAGUGAUAAAAUGACAAGUUGGACCACUUUUUAGUAUAUCUAUCCAGAAGGACACUUGAGCUUUUCAACCUCAGCACGUGACCUAUAUCGGUGACUUCUGCAUCCUUGAUCUGUGCAUGUGCUUGGAAACUUUGGCCCCUUCAUGAAUUGGGAUCUACCCAUAUACACAGAGAUGCUGACUGCUGCAUUGUGCUGCUGUUGUCAAUCUCACCACUGUAAUAGUCUGCCCUGAACUGGGCCUCCACAUAGUAAACCAUUGCCAUAGUAGAAUGUCACCCUUUCCAACAUGAAUCCUGGGAACAGAGCACUGCUUCUUUAAAUGUUGUGGAUAGAAAACUAUUUGAUCCUAUCUUUGAGAUCAACUUGAUUAGAAGUUAAAAUUCUUUAAGCAACAAUGCCUUGUUUGAUGUAAGAUUUGUGCAAACCUAUAUCUCAUACUUUUUUUCUGAUAUUUGCUUCAUAUAAAAGCCUAUUUAUUCAUAACCUCAUGGCCUUGGCUAUGGAAUCAUCCAUAUUUCCAUCCAUGGAGUGUUGAAAUAAAGGAAAGUUUCUGCCUUGUCUGAAAGUAAAAUCUUGGGGCAAGUAUUCAAACUCACUAAGCAUAUACAUUUCUGAAAUCAAACACAUCAUAAUACUUUGUGAAUUCAGUGCCAUGAAACACAUUACAGUCCUCUCUGUUUGUCAGGUCCCUCAUUACAGCAAUCUGGCAUCAAAGUAAAUGUGUUAUUCCUUUUCUCAGUUUAUUUCCAUCUUUUCAAGAACAGACUGGGAUGCUACCUUAAAAGCCACUGUUCUCAGGCAUCUUCCAUAGCUAACGAGAUUAGUCCCAGCCAAGGGAUAAUCCCAAUUGAUUAGGGCUAUUAGCUUACAGCUCACUCUUAAUUACAGCAGAAAUUUCUCCUGUGAACUGAGAGGAAAACUAGAGUUCUUCUGUUUGGCCCAGGAAUGACAGCACUUUGAAUGCCAAAAGGAUACCUCACCACUUUGAGCCGAGCUCUACUUUCCCAUAAUUUGUUUACUAGGCUGAGGAUCCCAAUAAUCCUUUAUUAAAGACAUCUCUUUGAAAGCAACUGAAGAUUAUAAUGCUGCACUGGACAGUACAGGAAGAAGAAAAUGAGUGAGAAACUAAAUAACAACAGUCCUGCCCCCAGAGCUCUGCUUGUAGCACUAAUUCAGGAGAAGAAACACACUGUGAAAAAACAUCACAGCAGAUCCUUAUCCCCAGUCAGGGGCUUCCUGCCCAUCCCAGUGGGAGCUUGCAGGUGAGCCAGACUGGGAGCUGUUGAUUUCCUGUGAGGCAUAUUUCCAGCUCUGCUGCCUCCCAGAGCCUCUCCCACUACCAUGUGAUGGAGGCCAAAACACUGUUGUCUGGCAACCUCUGCUGUUAUUAUGGUCCCUUGGACAUUAUGGUUAACUCAUUCAAUUCAUAAAAAACCUUGAAGCCUUUCUAAAUUGUAAGAGGAGCAGAAGCUGGUCCUGUCAACCACGUAACUGGGGAGUAAUGAGGUGUCUAAUACUAAUGUCUCACUAUAGUGACCACUCUUGCUCCCUAGGAGCACUGGGAUAGCUGAAGUUUAAGAGCGGAUACGCUCUACUUUCACGGACAGGUGGGUGUUGAUAUUUAUUUAUGCAUUAAUUCUUUGCCUGCUGCUUUAGAAGUGUUACAUCCAUGAGCUCGGGAACUGGCUGUUCUUGGUGUGGGAAUAUGCCCACUUCAGCCACACUGUAGAUGCAAAGGAAAGCCUUUACUUGCGCUGCCUAAAGCGUCCAUGCUAUUGGUGAGGGAGAAAGCACAGUUUCUCCCACCCUUUUUUUCCAAACCACUAGCUGCAAGACAGGAGACAUCUGAAGGGCAAAAUUGCUUUAGGAGCACAUACAAACACCUGGCUCUGCUGAUCACAGACAUUUUGGAGAGACUGAGCUUUGUCUGAAGUCUGGGCAGCUCAGUCACUGAUGCAAACACACGAGCUCUGUCUGGAUGUGUGUUUCUGAGCUUCACGAUUAUCGAUUCUGACAGUUUGCUUGAUUUGAAUGCAGCAUGAGUGCCAAAUUGUGCACAAAUUUAGGUGGUCAGAAGCCCACUGUACUUGGCACACAAUUUCCCAUCUCCAGCAGUGCCAACAAGGUUCACAGCAGGACACAUGCUCGUGCCUUGGUGUGCAUGCCAGACAGCACAAACAGCUCCUUCCUUUUAUGCCGUCUUGGUAAUACCUGGCACAUUGCUAAAAGUGGCCAGGUGAUGUUCCAGUGCAUCAGAGAGCUUGCAAGACUCCAGCCAGGUUUUUGUUUUUUUUUGUUUUUUGGCAAAGGAACAAUGAAUGACUAACUUGUUAAACAUGUUUUAUAGAGGUUCACCUUCCUGACCUCAUGGGCUGUUCCCCCAUGAAGGGGGUUUUGGUCUUGUGUUGCUGAACGUGAGAUGAAUGUCAUGCCAUACAACAAGCCAUAGACACGGUUCUUCCAUAGCAAUGGUUCUCCGGCCAAGUUCCAGGCAAUAACUCUUAAUCAGCAUGCUAGAACUGCUUUUUUGUCCGCAAGCUGAAACUGCUAUGAUGAGAAGGACAUAUACCUCCACUGAAGUUUUUUUCCUUAGCCCAAAACAAUUUAGCAUUUUGCUUUUCAGACAGUGACACAAGUGAAAAUGAACUGAAGAGAACACUUUCUACUGUGUUGAGUGAUUUUCAAUGCAGUUAACGCAACAGUUGACUGUCUUGAAUUAAUCAACUCUUUUUUUUUUUUCUUUCUUCUAUGAUUAAUUAAUGAUUUUCCAUUAUGAUUUAUGGUAUUUGGGUUGAAGCAGAGAAACUGCAAUUACCAGAAAAAAUCUGAGAUUUAUGCAAACUGAAAUUUAUCAGUUUAUCUUACCAUAUAUUUCCAUAUAUAUAUAUUUUCAUAUAUAUACCAUAUAUUUUUGCCAUCCCUCUGAGUUAUAAGACUGUUGCAGUAGGCUCCGUACAAAGGCAAAGCAUUUGCUGAUGAAAAUCUCACAAGUCUAUGACUGGACCACCUUUUUCCUUUCCUUUGUACUAGUGGAUAGACUACAGCACAUUUAAAUAGAUAAUAGGUAUCAGCAGGAGAUUUUUCACUGUUGUGAAUAACAGUGGAAAGCAGAGGACAAAUCAGUAGAUGACAGAAAGUUGUUGAUCACAUGGGUACCGCUAAUGGUUCAUCAGAAGAGACUGCUAUUGGAUCUGUGUAGGAAUUCUUAUCAGAAAAUGCCUUUUCAUUCAAAUUGGAUGUGUUACAAAAAAGAAUCAGACUGAUUUUUUUUUUUCUAUACUUAAAAAGAAAAGAAACCUAAAAUUGCUUUUAUGUUGUAAGAGGAGGUAUCGGUAUCUAAUUUAGAAAUGACUUCUUGUUUGGAAACCUAAGUUCAUUGAAACUGAUUAACAAACGUGACCUGAAACUAUUAAAAACUGCUGGAAUGAAAGCAUUUAAAACUAGCCUGUUAUUUCUCUGCCUUCUCACUAUUCUCUGAAAUUCGAUUCAGGCUGUUUCUUUGGAAAGAAAAUGUAGACAACUACAUUUUUACUUUAAUUCAAAGUAGAAGAAGAAGAAAAGAUUUCCUACCAAUUCUGAUUAUUCAGCUGAGUGGUAAAUAAAAAGAAAGUUUACUUGCUCUUUUUGCUAUCUUUACAAGUUGAGACACCCUCAAAAAAAAAAAAAAAAAAAAAAAAAACAGCUCGGAAAACAGAUGUUUGCAUUUUCAGUUGCAGCUUGGAGGCUUUCAUUUGAAAUGGCACAGAACAGCCAAGCAGUUAGCAUCACGCUUGCUAUCACACUGGAAAAAUGUGAAUUAGAAUUAGACAUAUAUCACUUCAUUAGCGUGUUGGAAAGAAAACAAAUACACAAUAGUUACUCGCUGGAGUCUAAAUGCAAUUGUCCCUACUCUUACUGAAGAAGAGAGAUUACAAAUGUCACAGUUGCUGAGAGAAAAAGAAUGAUAUACUUCUCAGGCCAAAGAAAAAGUGAUUAGUAUGUCUUUAUCAAAAGACGGAAGCAAAAUAUCCGAAUUACUAUAUUUGUGUCACUGAGAAUGAGUGUAAAAAGAUAUACCUACUUUCAAGUAGGCUUUAGAGCAGAAGUGCAACCUUCUUCUAUUACAUGGAUUAUUGUAGAGGAAAAGGAGACUCAGUCAGUACAUCCAAAAGUCAUUACUCUAAGUCUGAAAAGCCCAGUGUGUCUAUUGUUUGCUUUUAUUCUUCUUAGGAAGAUGUUACAGCUGCUUACUGCUGCUGAGGAUAUGAAACACAUUCACUUGAAAAAUAAAGCAAUAAUUUGAAAUUAAAAACAAAAAACAAACAAACAAAACAAACAAAAAAUUAUGUACAAGAUUAUGCAGGUUCUAAAAGACUUGCUACAGAUUUGCCCUCUAGAUGUUAGCCAAUUUAUUUCCUAAUUCCUAUUUCCUUGCAUUUACCUCAUCCCCUUAUUUAUUCUGAUGUUCAUUUCAAGCAUAAAAGAAAGCUACUACUGUUGUGGAAUUAUCACGUUUUUGAUAGGGAGGCAGGAGAAAGAGGCUGUAGGUAGCAUUUUUAUUUUUAUUUUUUGUCAAGCUACAGUAACCUUUAUAGUCCUCAGGUUUUCAUAGAAUCGCAGAAUGGUUGCCGUUGGAAAGGAACUGGAGCUCUACUGAUCCAACCCCCCUUCACUUGAGGUUAAGGAAGCCAAAGCGGUGGCAGCCUAUGUUACUCCAGAGAUAUUCAGCAAAGCUUUUUUUAGGCCUAAAGAUGGUCAUUACACCGAUCAUACAAAAAGAGAAGCACACAGUCUUUCACUGCCCCACCUGUGGUGUCCAGCAGGUUCAGGUGCUUUGCAGUUCAGUCUGGGAGCAACCUCCCCAGUACUGUUUCUGUCUGUUGGUCUCCAGUCACUUUAUUGCAGAUGGCCAUAUCUUAGAGUCCUUCUCAUAAUUUCAUCAGACCUCACUUUAAAAUUAUUUCAGCUGUCACAGCAGUCCCAUUUGAAGUACUGCUCCAGAAGCUACACUGCUUACAAAUGUACUUUAUCACUCCCUUGGUCCUCAGGAGAAACUCUGUGGUUUCACAGAGGGUUUGACCAAAAGCUAAAUUAUUUUUUUCAUGGGGUUGGUGUUCAGUGGGAUCAAUGAGCUGAUCCAGCACCUGUCACAGCCACACAAAGGAGGCAGGAGAUGUGAAACCACUCAGCAGCCUUCUACAGAAAGAGCUAUGUGUGCAGCUGUGACACUGCCUCGCUCCUUCAGCUUCAUAGGCAGCUCUUCAUAAGCUGUUAUUAAACCAAUGUAUGAGCACAGCAAACAACACGUCACAGGGCAACAGCCUCACAGACUUCAGUUAUAGGGGCAACAGGGUGUCUCUGAGCAUUCUCCUGACUGUGUCUCCCUGUGGGUCCAUGGGUAACAGAAGAGCCACCGGUCUUCUGGUGUAAAUCCCUUCUGGUAUAACCGGCUCCUCAAAUGAGCUUGACCAUGUGCCAGACCUGUUAUGGAGGCCAGCCCAAUUUCUAAGCUCCAGGACCAGCUCUCCUUGUGUGAUGUGACAAAAACCAAAUUUAUGGGCAGGUUUUUGUUCAUCUAAUGAUUUCUGCUGGUAUGGAGAAGGCGCACGGAAUGCUUGAGGACACUUACAAAGGCACCUUAAAAUGUACAGAAAUGACUAAAAAUAAUUGUACGUGGCAGGUUUUAUCACCUCUCCAGGAAAAAAGCUCAUGCCCUCUUGAUCCAAACUAUCUUCUGACAUUGCAUCUUUAUCGUCAUCACAAGUUUUGUUAAAAGCCAGCCAGUGAGUCAUUCAGUAUUUAAAAGCAGUGAAUUACAGAGUAGGCACAUUGCAGCAUCAUACACCUGCACUUCUUUCCACUUAACACCUUCCCCUCUUUUUGGUAUCUUUUCUUGCUCAUGUACACAUCCCAUCCAAUUUAUCACAGUGUCCACUGGUGCAUAGUCAGCAGUGGAUUUUACCUUCUGGAUAUUUUCAUUUUUUUGCAGAAAUCGCUUUCAAUUAGUUUAAGAAAUAGGGGAAGUGUUAAAUCAUCUGUCACACAUUUACAGAGCACACCAAGUUGUUCUAUUUGGCAUGCAGAUAAAGGGAAAAUAAACAUUCAUUGAGCCCAUGAAUUUAAAUCCCUUAGAUCAAGAGCAAGAUCAAAGGUAAAUCUAAACGUUCACAGUUCACCUUUGAGCAUUUCUCCUUUUGCUUCCUGACUAACUCUGUGUGUCCCUCUAUAAUGGGCAGAUGGGAACAAGUCCCCAGACAGCUGAGUAGCAGGCAAAGCAUCUUACAUUUUUCAGAGAAUGUUAAAAUAAGAUGCAGCAGGCAGCCUCAGAGUCUGACUGCAUUCCCAGACACUCAGUUACCUUGCAUGCUAGUAAUUCAGUGCACUGCUUAUAAGAGUGGCAUCCACCAGUAAAGCCGCAUGCUCAAGCUACAUGCAGAGCUACAUAUCAGUUUUUAUAGUGCUUUGCGUGUGUACAUUAUCAGAAGCAGCUAUCGAGGGGUGUGAAAGACUAACCCAUUAUUUUGGCUUCUUGAGUGCCGUGGCUGCUUUUAAAUGUGCUAAGUCCCCUCUCUAGUUAUUAGCACGCUUUAUGCAACCCAGAAGAUGCUCAGGUAAUUUGCAUUUGCUUGAAUCAGACGGCAGCAGCCCGGCACUGUAUGCAGCACUGAGCCCCUCCCCUCUGCAACCCCAUCCCAAAUGCCUCAUACCCAAAUUGCCUGAGCACUUCUACACGCCCCUUUCAGUCUUAGCUGGUUGAACGUGCAAUGCCCUUUUCUCCAGCGGGGAAAGAAGAUCCUCUGCGCUAUCAAUAUUUCAAUCUAAAGCAUUCCCUGGGUUCCUAUGGAACUAGAUUUAUUGCCUGUUGCUAUAAGCCUUUUGUAUAAAGGUUGUUUGCUUUAGCAAUUGCUGCUCUUUGCUGUUUCUUAGUUUAAUAUGAACUUAAAGGGCACGAGCUUGAAACUGGGAAUAAAGGUACAUUUAACUGGUUGUUUACUUUGUGUUCCUAUUUGUAUAUGUAGGUGUACAUGCAACAGACAGACCUCUCCUUUGAGCAAACUGUUUUGCUAAUAAUUGACCUUUGCAUAUAAGCUAUCCAAUUUGAACAUGCAAAUACUGCAACUGAGAGGCUGGCUCAGAAAAAAAGCAUUUUUAACUUCUUUUGAAUGCAGGUGAUAUUUCUGGCUUCCGGUUCAUCUUUUAAUAAGAAAUAUAUGUGUAUGUCUAUUUAAUGAAGAUGCAUAAGUAAGAAGCUUCUAAUUCUGAAAUAUACCAUACAGCCUACCUGCUUUGAGAAGACCUAGAUUACCUUCACUAUGUAGUUCACAAUAGGUAAAGCAUUUAUAAACUUGUCUCUAAGAGGUUUUAGAGAUCUCUUGGGCACACGGAGAUACUGGAUCUGUAUUUGCAGCCAAGCAGAGUAGAUUUGUGCUACCUAAUGCUCUUAUCAAAUAUUAGUCUUGAACUACUUUAUACCCACUUUUAUUUAGAAAUCAGUGCCACGAAGACUGGUUAUGGACCUAUUGAAGUUUGAUCUGUUUACCUGUCUUCCACUGAAAACCAAAGUGAAAAGAUGUUUAAAAUGAAGGCAAGAUAAACUGAAACAAUUUCGCACUCCCUUCUUAGUUGGCUUAUUGCAACCUUGCAAAAUUGUCACGAAUAUUUAGCAACUACAAGUGCAAUCAGCAUUUCUUAAUCAAAAUAACUGAUUUUAAUGGGGCAUGGAAUGAGAUUAUUUACCUCUUCUCCACUACUCACUACUAUUUACUCACUGUAACUAUCUGUUGAGAAUUUACAAGGAUGUCUUGAUGCCUCCAUCAAGUUACUGAUACUUCUCACAGUCUCGCCAACAGAUGACUGCCUUUUGACUUGGUUGCCUUCAUUUUAUUUCCAAAACUGUAGGUGCUAAUGCAUCAAAUUCUGCGUUGUUUCAGGCUCAGUGUGAUCACUUCAAGUGAACCAGAGCGCUUACAGUAGUACUGAAAUAAAAUAUUUGUUUCCAAUCUGCCUUAAAUAAAAUAUCUAAUUUUA